CGGCGGACGGGUGAGUAAGCGUGGGUAACCUGCCUCAUACAGGGGGAUAACAGUUGGAAACGGCUGCUAAUACCGCAUAAGCGCACAGUACCGCAUGGUACCGUGUGAAAAACUCCGGUGGUAUGAGAUGGACCCGCGUCUGAUUAGCUAGUUGGUGGGGUAACGGCCUACCAAGGCGACGAUCAGUAGCCGACCUGAGAGGGUGACCGGCCACAUUGGGACUGAGACACGGCCCAA
Molecule: ribosomal RNA, 237 nt
Filed under: uncultured bacterium
Lineage: Bacteria
Description: partial 16S ribosomal RNA
Rfam family: Bacterial small subunit ribosomal RNA
Source: RNAcentral